Molecule: long non-coding RNA, 1425 nt
Filed under: Homo sapiens (human)
Lineage: Eukaryota; Metazoa; Chordata; Mammalia; Primates; Hominidae
Description: HSALNT0359780
Source: RNAcentral
AGGAUGGGCAGGCAGGUAUCCCAUGUGCCUCUGAGGCCUGGUGCUGCCAAAUGAGCUCAAUUCCAACACUGUGCCUAGACCUUGGGGCCAGUCUGGCUGCCUCCUCCCCACCACCCCUCUCCCCUCAGCCUUCCCCACCACUCGGAUCACUUAGCGCAUCUAGAACACUUCUCUAAAGGACUCUAUCCAGAGGCUUCCCUUUUCUCCUCAGUGGCACCACCCAUUUGGUAUAGGCCUCUGCACCCACCAGUGGGAACACAGCUGAACUCCCUCCAGAUGUGGGGGUCUGAGCCUGGGGAGAGGGGUGGAAGCCUUGUUCCUGGGGAGCUCAGAGCACAGCCCCUGAUGACCUGAGUUGACCACUUGUCAUCCUCCCAUUAGCCCCCUAGGUGGCACUGCGCACCCCCCUACAAGCGGCAGAUUUGAGCCCUGCUCAGCCUUAAGGAGAAGCCCCAUCCCAGGGCACCUUCCCCACCACACCCUGCUCCUCACAGAUGCAGUAGCCUCUCCCAAUUUGCAAGGCUCACCUGGCAUUCUAGACCCAAGUCACGCUCCAGCCCCCGACUCCAGGGAGUCUUCCCUGAUUGCCCCAGCCCACCUUGAAGCCUCAGAGGCCUGCAAUUACCCCUCAGGGAAGGGCCACAGCUCCUGAUGACUCCCCUAGUAUCCAGGACACCAGGCCUCCACACCCCAGCCUGCCCCCACAUGUGCACGCACACGCUGGCCCUCCUUCCCCAGUGCUCUGCGCACAGCACCGCCCUCAGGCUGGUACGAAAUCACUUUUAUUCACAAUCACAGCGACCCAAGUGCACAAGGGAAGCAGCAGCCACCCCUGCACUGACAGAGCAGCUAGAACAGCGCCAAGCAUUCUGUUGACAAACAGUAACCGUCUGUCGAGUGCACUGACGAAGGCCUAACAUCCUGGAAAGCCAGGGAGCAACCACCCCCCAGCAAACACACAGACACCCUCUUUGCGUACAUUGUCUCAUCUAACCUUAACAAUCACCUUUUGAGGCUACCAUUGCCAUGUCAGGACACAGGCUGAGAAGUAGAUCUAUCCAAGAUACCCUUUUGAAAGUGGCUUAACAGGGAAUCAAACUCAUCGUUCUUUUUUAAAUCAUACAAGUUAUACAAAAUAUAAAACGAAAAAUGAACAUUCUCACUAAAUUCUGUAGAUAAUUUCUCGGCAUUCAUGAACUACAUGAAGCCAUUCAUGGGCAAGGACUCCAGGCUAAGAACCCUGGUAGCUUUUUUCAAAAUUUUCAAAAAUUUAACUCCUGGGCUCCUUCCAUCUUAUCCCCAGCAUCUGAACACCUCUCCGUGCCAAUAACUGUUUCCAACACCAUAUUCUUCUAAUGGCUGUGUUAUGUUCUGCUUUAUGGAGUCCUAUAACUUUCAAUAAAAGUGAUCACCAUGUUCCAUGAA